AAUUAGAAACAUCUCCCAUCAAUCACCCAGAAUACAACAAAAUAUGACCCCCAACAAUUCUCAACCAGAAGUUCCGAGCCAGGGGUCAUGCACACUGAGGUAUGUCUCAUGCUUGUCAGAAUUUCAUCAUUUAUCAGAAUCGUUGCUGAGUUACAAUUUCUCAACCUUGUCCUAUUAAUCCCAGGCCAGCCCAGUUGUCCUGGAUUUCCUUUCCCAUGUUCCAAGUACAAUACAUUCACAUUUGAUCCUUCCCCCGAUGCACCAGGACUCAACCAAUAUUAGGU
This 284-nucleotide long non-coding RNA is filed under the name Citrus sinensis (sweet orange). RNAcentral's name for it is "long non-coding RNA (CSIN_LNC002373)". Lineage: Eukaryota; Viridiplantae; Streptophyta; Magnoliopsida; Sapindales; Rutaceae. The record is from RNAcentral.